CCCCUUUCAGGGUUGCACCUGGAGAGUUUGCAGUCCUCUACCAGUCUCAGCUACAGGAGGGAGAGUCAAGCAGAGGCCUAUUCCUUCCAUUCCUAGCUUGGCCAGUGGCUAGCGAGCGGAAGGCAAUCUGCUACAAGU
This is a small nucleolar RNA of Tachyglossus aculeatus (Australian echidna), 138 nucleotides long. Lineage: Eukaryota; Metazoa; Chordata; Mammalia; Monotremata; Tachyglossidae. The record is from RefSeq and is a predicted model, not a curated record.